Molecule: long non-coding RNA, 3042 nt
Filed under: Pelobates cultripes (western spadefoot toad)
Lineage: Eukaryota; Metazoa; Chordata; Amphibia; Anura; Pelobatidae
Source: RNAcentral
CCCGAAUGUCCAUUAUGGCCCCCACCCACCGCUCACGGGUGGGGGCCAAUAUUAUUAUUUUUUUUUAUUUUUUUUACAGUGAGUAGCCACAGGCUGCUCACUGCUUACUAGACAUGCCCCUACUCGCGGCAUAGCGAGUAGGGGCUGAAUUUACAAAUACUACCACUAAUACUAAGUUACCACUGUGUGGAGGCCAUCUUCUUGAACGUCGGGAACCAGAACCUUGUAUGGCCAGAAUGGAAUAAGAACCAGGCUCCGACAGCCUUAAUUUUCGAAGACAACUUGGAAAUAGCGGAAGAAAGAUGCAUGCCAGCCUGACAUUACAUUACAAUGAAUGUUUUUGUAAUGCUUGCCAACAGGGCCAUGUCUGGAACACCAAAUUUCCUCUCCAGACUGUAAAAAUUACAUGGACCUAAGGACCAAACUCCUGAUUCCAAUUUCCUUUUCUGAGCUCGACGGCUAUGUCACUGUCAAUCCCUCUGAAUUGAACUACCGAAAGAUCUGCUAGAUAAUUUUGCACCUCAGCAAGAUAACCGCAUACAGGCGAGAAAGAGUGCCUACUCUGGUUUUCCCCGCCGGAUGACGUAUCAAAACCUUUGGACAAGUGAUUGUAUGAAUUUUUACAGCCUUCCGAUGUAUCCACGGACUGAAGAGAUGAAGGGCGGGAAGUACAGCUUUAAACCCCAAGUCUGCGGAUUCUCCCUUAACCAUUACCACGAAACUAGAUAAGAGCAUCUGUAGUGAUCCCCAACAAGAUCUUUAGACGAAAGACAAGCCUCCUGAAAGGAACUAUCUAAUUCGAAAAACGGACCCGCUACUACCAACUCCCUUACUUCUAUGAUAGAGGCGAGAAAACCAACAAUGUGUUUGACUUGAACACGAGAUCUAGGAACUCUUUUGAAUCAGAAAUAAAAUUUAUGUAUUGCUGGUAGAAUUGUCAGCGUCAGCAAUGUUUCCCUCUGUUUGCUCCGUCUGAUCUCCCAAAAAUAUAAUCGCCAUUAUUUACACAACUUUACUUUCUUUAGAAAGUACUGCGGCCACACUCUAAUCUCCUGUUUCAAUUUAUGGGAAUUUGCUCAGUAUAUUCUUAGUCUCUGAAUUGUGAUAAGAUUUCUUCAAGUGAGACCCAAACAGUUUCUGCUUACCCAAGGGAAGCUCACAAAGGACCGAUUUUGAUGCGGUAUCAGUCAUCUAUGAUCGCAACCAUAAACUACCAAACAUCCACAAUCAUAAAGAGAAAAAGGGAUUUUCCUUUGACAACUGCAAAUUCUUGGAGCAGAGAUUAAUCCUGUCUCCAGGAAUUAUGUUCUGCAGUGCGUUGAGCAAAAAAAGGAAAAAAACAAACAAAAAAACAAUAUCUCCGGUUAUGGCAGCUCCUGCUAGUAAAGCUGUCUGAUAGGUUUGCUCUGAAAUCACAUACCUUGUGGUUGUCUCAUAACCGUCCAUAAUGCCCUGAGAUAUCAAUCACAUAUACUGAAUCUGUUCAUACAGAAAACAUACCUAGACAAUAUAUGCUAUAUACCAAGGUUACGCAGCUCCUGUGGAUACAUAUACCGAGGCGGCGUCCUCACAGAAGCUCAUUUAUAGAGCCUAAUAAGGAUACAUAAACUGAGGCAGUAACCUCCUGGUAACUCAUCCAUAGAGCAUUUGGUGAAGACAUAUACUGAGGCCCGGUCUUCCCAGGACCUCAUACAUAAAGCAUAUAGAGGAUACAGAGUAUAUAGUGGAUACAUAUACAGAGGCUGAGUCCUCGUAAUACUCAUAGCAAAUAGUAGAUAAAUAUACUGAGUCCUCACAGUAACUCCUAAAUAGAGCAUUUACGGAGGAUGAGUCCUCAGAACUCAUACAUAGUGCAUUGUGCAUAUAAUGAAUACAAAUACUGAAGUAGAGUCCACACUACAACUCGUCAUAGAGCAUAUAGUGGGUAAAUCUACUGAGGCUGAGUCCUCAUAGAAACUAUACAUAGCGCAUUAAGUGGAUACAUAUCAAGGCGUCAUAGAACAUAUAGUGGAUAUAUCUAUAGAGGUUUUGUCCUCAUAAAAACUCAUACAAAGAGCCUAUAGUGUGUACACAUACUGAGGCUGAGCCCUCAUAGAAACUUUGCACAGAGCAUAUAGUGGAUACAUAUACUGAAGCGGAGUCUUCCCAGCCACCCGUCAGAGCAUAUAGUGGGUACAUUUACUGCUCACAGCAACUCGUCAUAGAGCAUAUAGUGGGUACAUUUACUGCUCACAGCAACUCGUCAUAGAGCAUAAAGUGGGUACAUUUACUGUUCACAGCAACUCGUCAGAGCAUAUACUGGGUACAUUUACUGUUCACAGCAACUCGUCAUAGAGCAUAUAGUGGGUACAUAUACUGCUCAUAGUAACUCAUCAUAGAGCAUAUAGUGGGUACAUAUACUGCUCAUAGUAACUCAUCAUAGAGCAUAUAGUGGGUACAUAUACUGCUCAUAGUAACUCGUCAUAGAGCAUAUAGUGGGUACAUAUAUUGCUCCCAGUAACUCGUCAUAGAGCAUAUAGUGGGCACAUAUAUUGCUCCCAGUAAUUCUUCAUAGAGCAUAUAGUGAGCACAAGUACUGCUCACAGUAAUUCGGCAUAGAGCAUAUAGUGGGUAUAUACACUGCUCACAGUACUCAUACAUAGAGCAUAUAGUGGACACACACUGUGUCUUUUGCAGGAGAUAUCAGCCAUAUGUCCAUAGGGAUUAAAUGCUGAAACUUUCACUAUAGGGAAAGUGGUCCAAAACAUUACUCAUCCUGAAAUAAAAGCUUGUUUCCACUCUUCGUCCUCUUCUUUUCCUCGUAGCUUCAUACUCCUUGUAAAUUAAGUGUAUAAACUAUUACAGAGAUCAUUUUGAAGGAAAGAUUAAUUGAUCUUACCUCAAAAUGCCUCUGAGCCGUGUGGGGGGCUGGUGACACGGCGUACCACUUCUGGCAAGCAUCCAUGCUGUCAGUGGGUACUGCACAGCUUCAUCUACGCCGAGCAUCAAAUUUCGCGGCUUUUUUUUUUUUUUUAAAUUAAGUUUUGGUAUGCGCAUUUGCUC